Molecule: ribosomal RNA, 3110 nt
Filed under: Salmonella enterica subsp. enterica serovar Cubana str. CFSAN002050
Lineage: Bacteria; Pseudomonadati; Pseudomonadota; Gammaproteobacteria; Enterobacterales; Enterobacteriaceae
Description: bacterial LSU rRNA
Rfam family: Bacterial large subunit ribosomal RNA
Source: RNAcentral
GGGUUGUGAGGUUAAGCGACUAAGCGUACACGGUGGAUGCCCUGGCAGUCAGAGGCGAUGAAGGGCGUGCUAAUCUGCGAUAAGCGCCGGUAAGGUGAUAUGAACCGUUAUAACCGGCGAUACCCGAAUGGGGAAACCCAGUGUGACUCGUCACACUAUCAUUAACUGAAUCCAUAGGUUAAUGAGGCGAACCGGGGGAACUGAAACAUCUAAGUACCCCGAGGAAAAGAAAUCAACCGAGAUUCCCCCAGUAGCGGCGAGCGAACGGGGAGGAGCCCAGAGCCUGAAUCAGCAUGUGUGUUAGUGGAAGCGUCUGGAAAGGCGCGCGAUACAGGGUGACAGCCCCGUACACAAAAGCGCAUGUGUUGUGAGCUCGAUGAGUAGGGCGGGACACGUGGUAUCCUGUCUGAAUAUGGGGGGACCAUCCUCCAAGGCUAAAUACUCCUGACUGACCGAUAGUGAACCAGUACCGUGAGGGAAAGGCGAAAAGAACCCCGGCGAGGGGAGUGAAAAAGAACCUGAAACCGUGUACGUACAAGCAGUGGGAGCCCCACCACCAAAGCAUUCUCUGGUGUUGAAGGCCCUGCAAAGCAGCAUCGCGGUGGCGGAGCGUCGUUUGCGACGCCCAACACACAAAACAAGCGGUGAGUGCUUUGGGGUGGGGUGACUGCGUACCUUUUGUAUAAUGGGUCAGCGACUUAUAUUCUGUAGCAAGGUUAACCGAAUAGGGGAGCCGGAGGGAAACCGAGUCUUAACCGGGCGUUAAGUUGCAGGGUAUAGACCCGAAACCCGGUGAUCUAGCCAUGGGCAGGUUGAAGGUUGGGUAACACUAACUGGAGGACCGAACCGACUAAUGUUGAAAAAUUAGCGGAUGACCUGUGGCUGGGGGUGAAAGGCCAAUCAAACCGGGAGAUAGCUGGUUCUCCCCGAAAGCUAUUUAGGUAGCGCCUCGUGAAUUCAUCUCCGGGGGUAGAGCACUGUUUCGGCUAGGGGGCCAUCCCGGCUUACCAACCCGAUGCAAACUGCGAAUACCGGAGAAUGUUAUCACGGGAGACACACGGCGGGUGCUAACGUCCGUCGUGAAGAGGGAAACAACCCAGACCGCCAGCUAAGGUCCCAAAGUCAUGGUUAAGUGGGAAACGAUGUGGGAAGGCCCAGACAGCCAGGAUGUUGGCUUAGAAGCAGCCAUCAUUUAAAGAAAGCGUAAUAGCUCACUGGUCGAGUCGGCCUGCGCGGAAGAUGUAACGGGGCUAAACCAUGCACCGAAGCUGCGGCAGCGAACGUAUCACUUAAAGCGAUUCAGCGGGUUACGAUUGACGGAGCGAAGCGACGUCAAAGCGUAUACAAAGUCGAGUCGGUUUAAGGAUUCGUUCGUUGGGUAGGGGAGCGUUCUGUAAGCCUGUGAAGGUGGCCUGUGAGGGUUGCUGGAGGUAUCAGAAGUGCGAAUGCUGACAUAAGUAACGAUAAAGCGGGUGAAAAGCCCGCUCGCCGGAAGACCAAGGGUUCCUGUCCAACGUUAAUCGGGGCAGGGUGAGUCGACCCCUAAGGCGAGGCCGAAAGGCGUAGUCGAUGGGAAACGGGUUAAUAUUCCCGUACUUGGUGUUACUGCGAAGGGGGGACGGAGAAGGCUAUGUUGGCCGGGCGACGGUUGUCCCGGUUUAAGCGUGUAGGUGUGUGUUCCAGGUAAAUCCGGUUCACUUUAACACUGAGGCGUGACGACGAGGCACUACGGUGCUGAAGCAACAAAUGCCCUGCUUCCAGGAAAAGCCUCUAAGCAUCAGGUAACAUCAAAUCGUACCCCAAACCGACACAGGUGGUCAGGUAGAGAAUACCAAGGCGCUUGAGAGAACUCGGGUGAAGGAACUAGGCAAAAUGGUGCCGUAACUUCGGGAGAAGGCACGCUGACAUGUAGGUGAAGUGAUUUACUCACGGAGCUGAAGUCAGUCGAAGAUACCAGCUGGCUGCAACUGUUUAUUAAAAACACAGCACUGUGCAAACACGAAAGUGGACGUAUACGGUGUGACGCCUGCCCGGUGCCGGAAGGUUAAUUGAUGGGGUCAGCGCAAGCGAAGCUCCUGAUCGAAGCCCCGGUAAACGGCGGCCGUAACUAUAACGGUCCUAAGGUAGCGAAAUUCCUUGUCGGGUAAGUUCCGACCUGCACGAAUGGCGUAAUGAUGGCCAGGCUGUCUCCACCCGAGACUCAGUGAAAUUGAACUCGCUGUGAAGAUGCAGUGUACCCGCGGCAAGACGGAAAGACCCCGUGAACCUUUACUAUAGCUUGACACUGAACAUUGAGCCUUGAUGUGUAGGAUAGGUGGGAGGCUUUGAAGUGUGGACGCCAGUCUGCAUGGAGCCGACCUUGAAAUACCACCCUUUAAUGUUUGAUGUUCUAACGUGGACCCGUGAUCCGGGUUGCGGACAGUGUCUGGUGGGUAGUUUGACUGGGGCGGUCUCCUCCUAAAGAGUAACGGAGGAGCACGAAGGUUGGCUAAUCCUGGUCGGACAUCAGGAGGUUAGUGCAAUGGCAUAAGCCAGCUUGACUGCGAGCGUGACGGCGCGAGCAGGUGCGAAAGCAGGUCAUAGUGAUCCGGUGGUUCUGAAUGGAAGGGCCAUCGCUCAACGGAUAAAAGGUACUCCGGGGAUAACAGGCUGAUACCGCCCAAGAGUUCAUAUCGACGGCGGUGUUUGGCACCUCGAUGUCGGCUCAUCACAUCCUGGGGCUGAAGUAGGUCCCAAGGGUAUGGCUGUUCGCCAUUUAAAGUGGUACGCGAGCUGGGUUUAGAACGUCGUGAGACAGUUCGGUCCCUAUCUGCCGUGGGCGCUGGAGAACUGAGGGGGGCUGCUCCUAGUACGAGAGGACCGGAGUGGACGCAUCACUGGUGUUCGGGUUGUCAUGCCAAUGGCACUGCCCGGUAGCUAAAUGCGGAAGAGAUAAGUGCUGAAAGCAUCCAAGCACGAAACUUGCCCCGAGAUGAGUUCUCCCUGAGACUUUAGGUCUCCUGAAGGAACGUUGAAGACGACGACGUUGAUAGGCCGGGUGUGUAAGCGCAGCGAUGCGUUGAGCUAACCGGUACUAAUGAACCGUGAGGCUUAACCUUACAACGCCGAAG